CUGCAGUGAUGACUUUUUUAGGACACCUUUGAAUUUGCCGUGAAAAUUAGUACAUUCUGAACAGC
This is a small nucleolar RNA of Loxodonta africana (African savanna elephant), 65 nucleotides long. Its record names the gene SNORD58. It matches the Rfam family "Small nucleolar RNA SNORD58". From Rfam's summary of the family: snoRNA U58 is found in introns 1, 3 and 6 of the ribosomal protein RPL17 gene in humans. U58 is a member of the C/D class of snoRNA which contain C (UGAUGA) and D (CUGA) box motifs. The record is from Ensembl. Lineage: Eukaryota; Metazoa; Chordata; Mammalia; Proboscidea; Elephantidae.